CUGAAAAAACGACACACGUGUGCGUGGAGAGACAUUAAGAAGUGUUCUUGACACACUUAUCUCAAGCAACAAAAUGAAAUCCCGGAGAGGAUCAAAGUCCUGGAGAAUAUAAAGAGCACGAAGGAGAGGUUUCCAGGGAGGAAAAAAAUCAUGUGCCCCCAAGUGAACGGGUAGAGGAUAAUUCAAUGUGGUCUACAAAGAUAUUUCCUGUCCAAAAAACA
Saccostrea cuccullata (small rock oyster) is the source of this 221-nucleotide long non-coding RNA. RefSeq lists it as uncharacterized. The record is from RefSeq and is a predicted model, not a curated record. The transcript has 3 exons. NCBI's taxonomy places the organism in Eukaryota, Metazoa, Mollusca, Bivalvia, Ostreida, Ostreidae.